This 375-nucleotide ribosomal RNA is filed under the name uncultured Helicobacter sp. RNAcentral's name for it is "bacterial SSU rRNA". It matches the Rfam family "Bacterial small subunit ribosomal RNA", at positions 275 to 667 of the family's 1533-position model. Lineage: Bacteria; Pseudomonadati; Campylobacterota; Epsilonproteobacteria; Campylobacterales; Helicobacteraceae. The record is from RNAcentral.
UAUGACGGGUAUCCGGCCUGAGAGGGUGAUCGGACACACUGGAACUGAGACACGGUCCAGACUCCUACGGGAGGCAGCAGUAGGGAAUAUUGCUCAAUGGGCGAAAGCCUGAAGCAGCAACGCCGCGUGGAGGAUGAAGGUUUUAGGAUUGUAAACUCCUCUUGUUAGAGAAGAUUAUGACGGUAUCUAACGAAUAAGCACCGGCUAACUCCGUGCCAGCAGCCGCGGUAAUACGGAGGGUGCAAGCGUUACUCGGAAUCACUGGGCGUAAAGAGUGCGUAGGCGGGAAGGUAAGUCAGAUGUGAAAUCCUGUAGCUUAACUACAGAACUGCAUUUGAAACUACUUUUCUAGAGUGUGGGAGAGGUAGGUGGAAU